This 239-nucleotide small RNA is filed under the name Pongo abelii (Sumatran orangutan). RNAcentral describes it as "processed transcript". Lineage: Eukaryota; Metazoa; Chordata; Mammalia; Primates; Hominidae. The record is from RNAcentral.
AUUAUCUGAGACAGGCUCGCGUUAUGGCUCCGCUUUCUGCAGCUCUCUUACCCUGGCAUGGUGUGUGUGUGCCUGUGUGCUACGGAGAGUCCCGUAUUCUCAGAGUAAAAGUUGUUUCUGGAAUUGAUCUCGCCAAAAAGGACAUCUUUGGAGCCAGUGAUCCGUACGUGAAACUUUCAUUGUACGUAGCGGAUGAGAAUAGAGAACUUGCUUUGGUCCAGACAAAAACAAUUAAAAAG